CGAAAGCGUUUUUAACAGCGCACAACCCACUGUGAACAUACCUGUUUGUUGCUUCGGCAGGCGGCCCCAGGGCGGGGCCAGCAGCCUGUACUUUUUUCAGGCGCCUGCCGGAGGCCACUUCAAACUCUUUUGUAUACGCACUGUCUGAGCCUAAAACAAAAUACGUUA
RNAcentral lists this unclassified non-coding RNA (168 nucleotides) under soil metagenome. RNAcentral's name for it is "partial internal transcribed spacer 1". The record is from RNAcentral.